CCCCCCCCCCCCCCCCACCCCGGAUGCCCCCCCCGCGCCCCGCGGUGACGGGUAUUCUUGGGUGGAUAAUACGGAUUACGUUGUUAUUGCUUAAGAAUACGCGUAGUCGAGGGGACGCCCCGAGCCGGCCUCCUCGUGCAUCCUUUUCUCGUGCAUCCCCCUCGUGCAUCCCCCUCGUGCACGAGGCCGUGCGUCCUCGUGAGCUCGCGGGGGGGUCCGUGUGAAGCUUCGGGUGCCCUCGGCUGUCACUCAGCAUCCGGCCCUGCGUGUGCUCUGCGCCCUCGUGCAUCCUCGUGCAUCCUCGUGCAGCUAUCCCUGAGCUUGCCCUUGCAACGUCGUGCAUCCUCUUGCAACGUCGUGCAUCCUCGUGCAUCUUUGUGCAUCCUCGUGCAUCUAUCCCAAAACACGCCCUUGUUACCUUGUGCAUCCUCGUGCAUCUAUCCCAAAACACGCCCUUGUUACCUCGUGCAUCCUCGUGCAACCCCGUGCAUCCAUCCUUGAGCAAUGCCCUUGCAACGUCGUGCACCCUCGUGCAUCUAUCCCAAAACACACCCUUGUUACCUUGUGCAUCCUCGUGCAUCCUUGUGCAUCGAUCUGUAAGCAUGCCCUUGCAACCUCGUGCUUCCUCGUGCAUCCUCGUGCAUCCAUCCCUGAGCAAUGCCCUUUCAACCUCGUGCAUCCUCAUGCACCCGCGUGCGUUCACCCCUGAGCACGCCAUUGCAACCCCAUGCAACCCCCGUUGCAUCCCAUUGCAUCCCAUUGCAACCCAUUGCAACCCAUUGCAUCCCAUUGCAUCCCAUUGCAUCCCAUUGCAACCCAUUGCAUCCCAUUGCAUCCCAUUGCAUCCCAUUGCAACCCAUUGCAUCCCAUUGCAUCCCAUUGCAAACCCAUUGGCAACCCAUUGCAUCCCCAUUUGCAAUCCCCAUUGCAUUUCCCAUGUGGAACCAUUGCAUCCC
RNAcentral lists this long non-coding RNA (956 nucleotides) under Coturnix japonica (Japanese quail). Its description in RNAcentral is "lncRNA (ENSCJPG00005001727.1)". The stretch from base 41 to 111 matches the Rfam family "mir-137 microRNA precursor family". Lineage: Eukaryota; Metazoa; Chordata; Aves; Galliformes; Phasianidae. The record is from RNAcentral.